CACUUUGUCCUCUCUACUUUCAUUCAAUCCAUCACGUUAGCCCCUUGACCAUUUCCGUUAAAAAAAUUCCACCUGUUCAUGUGUUUGCCCCUUGACUUGUAAUGAAAUUUUUAGUUUGGCCUCUGUAUGAUAGUGAAGUUUUCACUUUGGCCCCUCAUGUGUUCAGAUUUGAUUGGCUUAAAUGGCCACACGGGAUCUUUUUUAACAGAAAUGGCCAAUAGGCUAAAGUGAUGGACGAAAUGAAAGUAGAGAGGGCAAAGU
This 261-nucleotide microRNA precursor is filed under the name Gossypium raimondii (Peruvian cotton). RNAcentral describes it as "miR8714 stem-loop (gra-MIR8714)". The record is from miRBase by way of RNAcentral. Lineage: Eukaryota; Viridiplantae; Streptophyta; Magnoliopsida; Malvales; Malvaceae.